This is a long non-coding RNA of Erinaceus europaeus (western European hedgehog), 644 nucleotides long. RefSeq lists it as uncharacterized. The record is from RefSeq and is a predicted model, not a curated record. Lineage: Eukaryota; Metazoa; Chordata; Mammalia; Eulipotyphla; Erinaceidae. The transcript has 3 exons.
AUAACCUAGGUCACUGGUCAAAAAUUUUACUGAGAAACUGCAAAGGCAAGAAAUCCAUCUGCAGUCUUACUAUUGAAAAGUGAAACUUGCUAAGAUGACAUAAAAAAAAAAAAACCUAGGCAUGCCAAUAUUCAUGACUAUCAAAAGAAAUGUGUAUGCAUAUACAAAGAUACUCCAAAGCCAAACAUGAUGUUUGAGGAGCACCGUGCUUUAAGAGACAGAAAUGAAGAGAAAAUAAGAUAUCUAACAGAACCAGAGCACUCCUAUACAGAGAUGGAAUAAAAGCCUAGGCCAUAGCCAGUGAAAAUUCUGCCAGAUGGAUAUUCUUUUUCUUCAGCAAAGCCUUGAAAACAGCGCUCUGAGUUCCAAAGCUGAUUGGUUCAUCUUCCUGUGCUCUGCAUUGCUGUCCCAUUGCUUGGAAACUGUUAACCAAGAAGAAGCUAGAGAUGGCGACAUGAAAAAUUAGACUCUAGCUUGAAAAAAAAUAAAUAAACAGGUACGCCUGGAGGAGGCAGGAAGCCGGCUUUGCAGUUCAGGAGGCCAGGCCCCCACAAGCCUCAGAAGGAGGGGAGGGAGAAAAGCAAAAACUCUGUGGAACAGGGAACUUUGGAACCAUUCAGGGGAUGACCUGGAACAGGAAACUG